RNAcentral lists this ribosomal RNA (775 nucleotides) under uncultured Neocallimastigales. RNAcentral describes it as "partial large subunit ribosomal RNA". It matches the Rfam family "Eukaryotic large subunit ribosomal RNA", at positions 24 to 642 of the family's 3401-position model. Lineage: Eukaryota; Fungi; Neocallimastigomycota; Neocallimastigomycetes; Neocallimastigales. The record is from RNAcentral.
UAUCUCUGUAGAGUCUGCAUAUCAAUAAGCGGAGGAAAAGAAACUAACAAGGAUUCCCCUAGUAACGGCGAGUGAAGCGGGAAGAGCUCAAAUUUGAAAUCUUCAAGGUUUGACCUUGACGAAUUGUAGUUUAAAGAAGUGUUUUCGGUUAGAGGAGUAGUAAAAGUUCUUUGGAAUAGGACAUCAUAGAGGGUGAGAAUCCCGUAUUUGACUAUUCUUUCUAGCUUUGUGAUACACUUUCAAAGAGUCGGAUUGUUUGGGAAUGCAGUCCAAGAUGGGUGGUAAAUUUCAUCUAAAGCUAAAUAUUGGCGAGAGACCGAUAGCGAACAAGUACCGUGAGGGAAAGAUGAAAAGAACUUUGAAAAGAGAGUUAAACAGUACGUGAAAUUGUCAAAAGGGAAGCGUUUGACACCAGUGUUGUUUUUUCCGAAAAUCAAUUAAAAAUUGAUUCAUGCCAGGUUGUAUUGACCUUAUCAGCUUGCAAUUUGGUUUUGGGUCUCUUUUUGAUGCACUUUUCGGUUAACAAGUCAACAUCAAUUUCCUUUGCUGUAAAAAGGUAAGAGGAAGGUGGCUUCAAUUUCGGUUGAAGUGUUUAUAGCCUUUUAUCUCUGCAGUCGGGGAGAUUGAGGUCUGCAGCGUAGAUCCUUCGGGGCUAGAUACAUUUAUGCUAAGUUAUAGCUUUUCAUAGACAACUUGUUGACUAUGUUUAGUCAUGUAGCUUACUCGUAAGUGCUAUUUUACCUACGCUUAGGAUGUUGAAGACUCUACAGAGAUA